This 482-nucleotide ribosomal RNA is filed under the name uncultured bacterium. RNAcentral's name for it is "bacterial SSU rRNA". It matches the Rfam family "Bacterial small subunit ribosomal RNA", at positions 30 to 512 of the family's 1533-position model. The record is from RNAcentral.
AUUGAACGCUGGCGGCAUGCCUUACACAUGCAAGUCGAACGGUAACAGGUUAAGCUGACGAGUGGCGAACGGGUGAGUAAUGUAUCGGAACGUGCCUAGUCGUGGGGGAUAACGUAGCGAAAGCUACGCUAAUACCGCAUACGAUCCAUGGAUGAAAGCGGGGGACCUUCGGGCCUCGCGCGAUUAGAGCGGCCGAUAUCAGAUUAGGUAGUUGGUGGGGUAAAGGCCCCCCAAGCCGACGAUCUGUAGCUGGUUUGAGAGGACGACCAGCCACCCUGGGACUGAGACACGGCCCCGACUCCUACGGGAGGCAGCAGUGGGGAAUUUUGGACAAUGGGCGCAAGCCUGAUCCAGCAAUGCCGCGUGCAGGAAGAAGGCCUUCGGGUUGUAAACUGCUUUUGUACGGAGCGAAAAGGCUCUCUUUAAUACAGGGGGCUCAUGACCUAAAAGGAAGAAUAAGCACCGGCUAACUACGUGCCAGC